GCGGAAGUGGUGAAAUUGGCAGACACACCAUCUUGAGGGGGUGGCGCUCGAAAGAGCAUGCGGGUUCAAGUCCCGCCUUCCGCA
This 84-nucleotide transfer RNA is filed under the name Bacteroidota bacterium. Its description in RNAcentral is "tRNA-Leu". It matches the Rfam family "tRNA". Rfam says of the family: Transfer RNA (tRNA) molecules are approximately 80 nucleotides in length. The record is from RNAcentral. Lineage: Bacteria; Pseudomonadati; Bacteroidota.